RNAcentral lists this microRNA precursor (90 nucleotides) under Dipodomys ordii (Ord's kangaroo rat). RNAcentral's name for it is "mir-1284 microRNA precursor family". It matches the Rfam family "mir-1284 microRNA precursor family". The record is from Rfam by way of RNAcentral. Lineage: Eukaryota; Metazoa; Chordata; Mammalia; Rodentia; Heteromyidae.
UAAACCAGUUUAAUGUGUUCUGCACAGACCCUGGCUUUUCUUACGUUUUAUAUAUUGGAAAGCUGUGUUUGUAUUGGACCUGCUGGUUUC